This 253-nucleotide ribosomal RNA is filed under the name uncultured bacterium. Its description in RNAcentral is "partial 16S ribosomal RNA". It matches the Rfam family "Bacterial small subunit ribosomal RNA", at positions 524 to 776 of the family's 1533-position model. The record is from RNAcentral.
UACGAAGGGUGCAAGCGUUACUCGGAAUUACUGGGCGUAAAGCGUGCGUAGGUGGUGAGUUAAGUCUGUCGUGAAAGCCCCGGGCUCAACCUGGGAAUGGCGAUGGAUACUGGCUCGCUAGAGUGCGGUAGAGGAGAGUGGAAUUCCCGGUGUAGCAGUGAAAUGCGUAGAGAUCGGGAGGAACAUCAGUUGCGAAGGCGGCUCUCUGGACCAGCACUGACACUGAGGCACGAAAGCGUGGGGAGCGAACAGG